Molecule: ribosomal RNA, 391 nt
Filed under: uncultured fungus
Lineage: Eukaryota; Fungi
Description: eukaryotic LSU rRNA
Rfam family: 5.8S ribosomal RNA (bases 69-222)
Source: RNAcentral
GCCUGCCAAUAGGACACUAUAAAGCCUUUUGUAAUUGCAGUCAGCGUCAGAAAUAAUUUAAUAAUUAAAACUUUCAACAACGGAUCUCUUGGUUCUGGCAUCGAUGAAGAACGCAGCGAAAUGCGAUAAGUAGUGUGAAUUGCAGAAUUCAGUGAAUCAUCGAAUCUUUGAACGCACAUUGCGCCCCUUGGUAUUCCAGGGGGCAUGCCUGUUCGAGCGUCAUUUCAACCCCCAAGCUCUGCUUGGUCUUGGGCGUCACCGGUCUCGGCGUGCCCUAAAAUCAGUGGCGGCGCCGUCUGGCUCUGAGCGUAGUACAUACCCUCGCUAUAGACGCCUGGCGGAUGCUUGCUAGCAGCCCCUAAUUUAUUCAGGUUGACCUCGGAUCAGGUAG